CUGUGCCUCUUUAAGAGUUGAUUUGUAGCGAGCACUCAGGAUCUCUCUGUAGGCAUUGUGGUCCAGUGUGGCUAGAGAGCAGGUAUUAAGCCGCCUGUCGUCCAGACCUCGUCAGCUGAAUAGCCUGUCGUGCUAAAGUUCACCACAGACAAGGCAGUGGUUGUUUACCCUGAGGUGCAGUCAGAGCUGGGUUGACUACUUACUGCAUUGUUUAAAGUAAAUAUCAUCUGUCAGGUAUUUAGCAGGUGAUCCUGCAGGUUUGACCUUUUCAAGUCACUUAUUAAGACUGCAAUUUAGUCUUAAAACCUGUCGCACUACCAGACAACCUCUGGAUUAAUAACAGUUGGAGUUCCCCUCUAAUUGUCAGAACUGGAAAUCUGCUGAAAAUCAUCCUCAAAAUAUACCAGUGUGUCCCCAGACUGAUUAAACAGAAAUGGCCUUCCCUUUUA
This is a long non-coding RNA of Micropterus salmoides (largemouth bass), 449 nucleotides long. RefSeq lists it as uncharacterized. The record is from RefSeq and is a predicted model, not a curated record. The transcript has 4 exons. Lineage: Eukaryota; Metazoa; Chordata; Actinopteri; Centrarchiformes; Centrarchidae.